This 131-nucleotide small RNA is filed under the name Enterobacter sp. MF024. RNAcentral's name for it is "RtT sRNA". It matches the Rfam family "RtT RNA". From Rfam's summary of the family: This family represents a bacterial cis-regulatory element known as RtT RNA. The exact function of RtT is unknown although it is thought that it may be involved in changing the cellular response in relation to amino acid starvation. Lineage: Bacteria; Pseudomonadati; Pseudomonadota; Gammaproteobacteria; Enterobacterales; Enterobacteriaceae. The record is from RNAcentral.
AUUCUUCCGAUGCAGGGAAGGAUGAGAAGCUUCGACUAAGGUUCGAUUCGAGCGCAGCGAGAAAGCGUUGCCGCAGGCAACGACCCGAAGAGCGAGGCGCAACGCGCCGAGUAAUCCUUCCCCCACCACCA